ACGGGAGGCAGCAGUGGGGAAUCUUCCGCAAUGGGCGCAAGCCUGAUGGAGCAAUGCCGCGUGAGUGAAGAAGGUCUUCGGAUCGUAAAGCUCUGUUGAGAGGGACGAGAGAUAAUGUCAGGAAAUGGGCAUUAGAGGACGGUACCUUUCGAGGAAGCCACGGCUAACUACGUGCCAGCAGCCGCGUUAAUACGUAGGUGGCGAGUGUUGUCCGGAAUUAUUGGGCGUAAAGGGAGCGCAGGUGGGAUUGCAAGUCAGUCUUAAAAGUGAGGGGCUCAACCCCGUGAUGGGAUUGAAACUGCAGUUCUUGAGUGCAGGAGAGGAGAGCGGAAUUCCUAGUGUAGCGGUGAAAUGCGUAGAUAUUAGGAGGAACACCAGUGGCGAAGGCGGCUUUCUGGACUGUAACUGACACUGAGGCUCGAAAGCGUGGGGAGCGAACAGGAUUAGAUACCCUGGUA
Molecule: ribosomal RNA, 458 nt
Filed under: uncultured Anaerovibrio sp.
Lineage: Bacteria; Bacillati; Bacillota; Negativicutes; Selenomonadales; Selenomonadaceae
Description: partial 16S ribosomal RNA
Rfam family: Bacterial small subunit ribosomal RNA
Source: RNAcentral